GUGACCUCAAUCAGGAGGACUACCCGCUGAACUUGGGGG
Molecule: ribosomal RNA, 39 nt
Filed under: uncultured Cortinarius
Lineage: Eukaryota; Fungi; Basidiomycota; Agaricomycetes; Agaricales; Cortinariaceae
Description: partial 28S ribosomal RNA
Source: RNAcentral